AUGGCGGCGGCGAAGAAGAAGGACGACGGCGAGCCUGGGGCGACAGCCAGCGGCGAGGGCGGUGCUCACUCCGAGGUCAACAAGUGGCUAGGCAGCGCAAGUUUCCCGACCCAGCGCUCGUCUGGGCCACCGACGCAGGAGGUCCAGAUCUCGCCGGCGUUCCGCGCGGCCAGGGCAAUGGCCAAAUGCAUCCACGCGGAUCCAGAAGGCGGGCACCAGUGGGCCUCCUCACUUGGUGGCAUGGAAAAUCUGAAUGUGUUGUUUCUUUUUUUGCAUAGUUUGGAUGAUGAAGUAUGGGAAUUGAGGCAGCAUUUUCAGGGUAGAGACAACAUGGAAAUGAAGUUUUCCUUAUCAGAAAUGAAUUACCUGUUAUUGUUAGCACUUAUUGAACUUGAGGGCUAUGGGUUGGAUGCCUAUCUGUCAUAUGUUAAGGAUGAGGGUAAGGGGCUGGAGGGGAUUGAGGUUUUGGACAGUGAUGAGAAGGUGGAGGAGAUGCUAGAUUUGUUUGCUGAGAAGAAAAUAUUGAACAUAACAGUGAGAGAGGCUAGUGACCCAAAUCCAGCAGAUGCAAACAUGGACCACACCUUGCUUGAAGAGCAGAUUCCAAUGAGUCAAGUUGGUGAUCCCAUUGUUUAUAGUGUUUCCCAAGAAGGUGUCCUUUUCCCUGUCUCAAAUUCUUCACAACCUCCACUUGUGCAUGUUGAUCCAUAUUUUAACACACAACAGAGCUGUAAUUUCAACAAGGGAAAAGAGGCAGUGGAAAUUGAAGGCAUUGAAGCAGAAGAUCAAGAUGAAGAUGAGUUGGACAAAUCCUCUUCAGAUUUUGAGUUUUUCAGGGGUGAUUACAGAGGGAAGAAAAUUUCAUACAAGUCUUGGGCUAGGGGAGAAGAUGAAGGUGGUGUAGGAACAAGUCAGCACUAUAGGGAAGAGGAAGAGAUGGUUGAGCAUUAUUUUGGGGCAGCUUCUGAACCCUCAGAGUUUUGGCAGGAGCCAAAUGGUUCUGAAGAAGAUGAUGAAGAAGAAGCUUCAGAUCAUGUGAAAACUGUGGCACAGAAGAUACCUGUGAGGAAACAAGGCCCAACAAGCAGAUCACACAGUGAGCCGGAUCACAUAAAGUUUGAAGAUUUCGUGCUAGAAGCUGAUGAGUUCUGCUUUCCAGGUGAUGAAGGCAUUUCUGAUGAAGAAGAUGAUGCACCUAGGUUGCCUUGUGGCAGGAAGAUAAAAUUGAAGAAGAAGGAGAGAAUAUGAGAAGCAUUGAGAAACUACCAUGUUAGGACACUUAGGAACUUUGAGUACCAUAGGAAUGAUCCAAGUAGGAUCAUAGCCUGGUGCUUAGAUAGAAAGCAUGGUUGUGAGUUUUAUAUUACUGCUUCUAAGAUUGCCCAUGAGUCAACCUUUAGCAUCAAGAAGAUGAAUCUUGAUCACACCUGUGGAGCAAGUGGAGAGAACACAAAGGUUACCAUGAAGUGGGUUGCAAAGGCUGUUGAGGAUACUGGUCUGCUCAAUGCAAUAGAGGAUGUAUUUCCUGAUUCCCCUCAAAGAUUUUGUUUAACACACAUAUAUGCCAACUUCCAAUCAGCUGGGUUUAGAGGGGAUGAAUUGAAAAAACAUCUAGACCAGGCUGCAUAUUCUUUCACUAAGCAUGGGCAUGAUCUGGGCAUGGAAGCAUUGAAGAAAGAGAGUGAGGAGGCAUGGAAGUGGUUGUCCAACAUACCAGUCCAUACUUGGGCCAGGCAUAGAAUGGAUAUUAUAUGCAAGAUAGACCUUGUUGUAAACAAUCUUAGUGAAGUUUUCAACAGGAUGAUUCUGGAUGUUAGGAACAAGCCCAUAAGGACAAUGCUUGAAGGAAUGAGGACAAAACUCAUGAUCAAGUUUCAAAAGAUUAGGGAGAAGACAGAGCCAUGUAGGUGGGAUAUCACACCCACUUACUCUGAGAUAUUGGAGGAGGCCAAGAAGUGGGCAAAAUAUUGUGAUGCAUAUAUGGCUGGACCAGGCAUUUGGCAAGUUACAAGUAGUUCAGAAAAGACCUACUGUGUAAACCUAAACAACUACACUUGUGACUGCAGGAGGUGGGAUAUGACAGCUGUUCCAUGUAGUCAUGCUAUAGCAGCAAUGCAGAAGGUGAAGCUACACCCUGAAGAUUUUGUUCAUGAGUUCUUCAAGAAGCCCCUCUACUGUGAAACCUACAAGCAUAUUAUAUACCCUGUUCCAGGCCCUGAUUGUUGGCCACACACCAUGGGGGAUGACAUAUCUCCUCCAGAGAAUAGGCCAGACUACUCUUCAUCUACCAUGGCUACUACAGGUGUGGUUGCACCACCACCACCAUCAGCACCAUCAGCACCAGCCAUAGCUAGGAAGAGGCCUGCAACAGCCACAGCUACUCCAGGACCAGCAAAGAGGAACAAGGCAGCUACUUCUGCUACUCCAGCACCUGCCACAUCAGCACCUGCCAAGAAGACCAAAGCAACCAAGAAGACAAGGGCUCCUAGCACAUCUUCACCAGCCAAGAACACAAGGGCGAGCCCUUUGCCUCCUCACAUCCACUUCAUGCACUGCCUCCUCUUCCUCAUCUGUCACCUCCCCAAGCUCUGGAUCCAUCUAGGGUUUCAAGAGGUGGGGUGUGGCGGCAGUGUUCUGGAGGGAGGAGGGUGGGUGGAGUAG
Molecule: ribosomal RNA, 2661 nt
Filed under: Triticum aestivum (bread wheat)
Lineage: Eukaryota; Viridiplantae; Streptophyta; Magnoliopsida; Poales; Poaceae
Description: partial small subunit ribosomal RNA
Source: RNAcentral